GGGGGAUAUUGCGCAAUGGGGGCAACCCUGACGCAGCAACGCCGCGUGAAGGAUGAAGGUUUUCGGAUUGUAAACUUCUUUUAUUAAGGACGAAAAAUGACGGUACUUAAUGAAUAAGCUCCGGCUAACUACGUGCCAGCAGCCGCGGUAAUACGUAGGGAGCGAGCGUUGUCCGGAUUUACUGGGUGUAAAGGGUGCGUAGGCGGCCGAGCAAGUCAGUUGUGAAAACUAUGGGCUUAACCCAUAACGUGCAAUUGAAACUGUCCGGCUUGAGUGAAGUAGAGGUAGGCGGAAUUCCCGGUGUAGCGGUGAAAUGCGUAGAGAUCGGGAGGAACACCAGUGGCGAAGGCGGCCUACUGGGCUUUAACUGACGCUGAGGCACGAAAGCAUGGGUAGCAAACAGGAUUAGAUACCCUGGUAGUCCAUGCCGUAAACGAUGAUUACUAGGUGUGGGGGGACUGACCCCUUCCGUGCCGCAGUUAACACAAUAAGUAAUCCACCUGGGGAGUACGGCCGCAAGGUUGAAACUCAAAGGAAUUGACGGGGGCCCGCACAAGCAGUGGAGUAUGUGGUUUAAUUCGAAGCAACGCGAAGAACCUUACCAGGUCUUGACAUCCUGAGAAUCCUUAAGAGAUUAGGGAGUGCCUUCGGGAACUCAGAGACAGGUGGUGCAUGGUUGUCGUCAGCUCGUGUCGUGAGAUGUUGGGUUAAGUCCCGCAACGAGCGCAACCCUUGCUAUUAGUUGCUACGCAAGAGCACUCUAAUAGGACUGCCGUUGACAAAACGGAGGAAGGUGGGGACGACGUCAAAUCAUCAUGCCCCUUAUGACCUGGGCUACACACGUACUACAAUGGCCAUUAACAGAGGGAAGCAAAACCGCGAGGCAGAGCAAACCCCUAAAAAUGGUCCCAGUUCGGAUUGUAGGCUGCAACCCGCCUACAUGAAGUUGGAAUUGCUAGUAAUCGCGGAUCAGCAUGCCGCGGUGAAUACGUUCCCG
Molecule: ribosomal RNA, 997 nt
Filed under: uncultured bacterium
Lineage: Bacteria
Description: bacterial SSU rRNA
Rfam family: Bacterial small subunit ribosomal RNA
Source: RNAcentral